Molecule: long non-coding RNA, 1277 nt
Organism: Zalophus californianus (California sea lion)
Lineage: Eukaryota; Metazoa; Chordata; Mammalia; Carnivora; Otariidae
Exons: 3
Source: RefSeq, a predicted model, not a curated record
UCUAACCCUUCAGCCUGGAUCCCACCACACACCAUGCCCCCUUGCUCUCUUCAUUUCACCCACUUUGACUUUUCAUCUCCAUCAGAGAACUCGCUGCUGCAGGACCUCGACACAGGCUGACCUCUCUCCGGAAACCCUCCUCACAGACACACACAAGUACGUGUGCAAAUACACAGAGAGAUGUGCACACAUGUAUACGCAUUAUAUACACAAACGCUUGGUUAAUUCCCCUCCGACAGACUUCAAAACACAACACUGACUCUCUCAGGGAAGCCUACCCUGAUGCCAGGACUAGGUCACCUCUGCCCCACUGUAUGGCAUUUUUCUCACAGUUUUCCGUGCAUUUAUGGGAUUAUGUGAUCAACAUCUGUCUCCACCACAAGACCAGAAACUUCAUGAAGAUCCCAGCGACCAGAUAGUUCAUGGCACAAAGAGUUUGAGAGAGCAGUGGAGCCUGAGCAAGAAGCUGUGUCCCAGUGUCUGGUGUGCACCUAGAUGGACAGGUGAAUGGACAGACAGUUAGAUACGUCCUUGUACGUGAUCCUGACAUUGCCGAUGGAGAGGCAGGAAGAGGAGCAGAAAGCUCGAUGGCUGGAUUCUGAAGCCCCUGAGCCACUCCUCGCCCAUGCCAUCAGCUUUGAGUCUCUUCCCAACCUCAAAAAAUUGUGCCCCCUAUAGAUAAAAGAUGAGGAUAAUGAGGCACGAAGAAGUCGAGGAACUGGCCUAUGGACACACAGCCAGUGAACGACAGAGCCGGAUUUGAACCCAGCCCGUUCGGCUCCAGAGUCAGCACUUCCAGUCCCCACCGUAUAAGAAGCAUGACCUGAUGUGCAGUAAAGGAUCCACCCUGCCCAAAAAGAAGCCUCACCUUUGCUCUCGUUCCCAGGAGAUGACCUCUAAGCCCUUGGAAUGUCCUGCCUUAGAAUGUUUUUCUUUACCUGCCUUAGACCAUGCCAGAAAGUGUAACGAUGUGAUUUAGGCUUGACCACACGAUGUCAGUUCAACCUCCGGAGAGGCUGGAGACUAAAGGUCAGCCACAUGGGGAGCCCACCAUGUCUAUGUGAUGGAGCCCCCAUAAAGCCUCUGGACCCCAAGGCUUGGAGGGGCUUCCCUGUAUGUUAUCACCUGUCAUUGCUAGGAGGUGUUAGCACCGUCCUUGACUCCACUGGGAGGGGACAACUGCAGCUCCUCGUGUGGAAUUCUCUUGGACUCUGCCCCAGGAGCCUCUGCCCUUGGCUGACCUUGAUAUGUAUCCUUUUGCUGUAAUAAACCAUAAU